This 455-nucleotide ribosomal RNA is filed under the name uncultured bacterium. RNAcentral describes it as "bacterial SSU rRNA". It matches the Rfam family "Bacterial small subunit ribosomal RNA", at positions 340 to 786 of the family's 1533-position model. The record is from RNAcentral.
UACGGAAGGCAGCAGUGGGGAAUAUUGCACAAUGGGCGAAAGCCUGAUGCAGCUAUGCCGCGUGUAUGAAGAAGGCCUUAGGGUUGUAAAGUACUUUCAUCGGGGAGGAAAAAACAAAACUAAUAAUUUUAUUUCUUGACGUUACCCGAAAAAGAAGCACCGGCUAACUCCGUGCCAGCAGCCGCGGUAAUACGGAGGGUGCUAGCGUUAAUCAGAAUUACUGGGCGUAAAGAGCACGUAGGUGGUUUUUUAAGUCAGAUGUGAAAUCCCUGGGCUUAACCUAGGAACUGCAUUUUGAAACUGAAAUACUAGAGUAUCGUAGAGGGAGGUAGAAUUCUAGGUGUAGCGGUGAAAUGCGUAGAUAUCUGGAGGAAUACCUGUGGCGAAAGCGGCCUCCUAAACGAAUACUGACACUGAGGUGCGAAAGCGUGGGGAGCAAACGAGGAUUAGAUACC